Molecule: ribosomal RNA, 427 nt
Filed under: uncultured bacterium
Lineage: Bacteria
Description: partial 16S ribosomal RNA
Rfam family: Bacterial small subunit ribosomal RNA
Source: RNAcentral
GUGAGGAAUCUUCCACAAUGGGCGAAAGCCUGAUGGAGCAACGCCGCGUGAAGGAUGAAGGUCUUCGGAUUGUAAACUUCUUUUAUGAGUGAAGAAUAUGACGGUAACUCAUGAAUAAGCACCGGCUAACUACGUGCCAGCAGCCGCGGUCAUACGUAGGGUGCAAGCAUUAUCCGGAGUGACUGGGCGUAAAGAGUUGCGUAGGCGGUUAUGUAAGCGAAUAGUGAAACCUGGUGGCUCAACCACACAGACUAUUAUUCGAACUGCAUAACUCGAGAAUGGUAGAGGUAACUGGAAUUUCUUGUGUAGGAGUGAAAUCCGUAGAUAUAAGAAGCAACACCAAUGGCGUAGGCAGGUUACUGGGCCAUUUCUGACGCUAAGGCACGAAAGCGUGGGGAGCGAACCGGAUUAGAUACCCUGGUAGUCC